UCCAAUUAUUAUAACAGGAAAUGGAUAAAACCUGCUUUCUGUCCUCACUCCUAGAUGAGGUGUUGCCAAGGUAAUAAAAUUCAUCUGCUCGAGCCCAGCAAGGCUACCUCGCGGAAGAUGUGAGUUCCCAGAGUUAGAGAGAGCAGCACCAUCACUGGCUUGUGACACUGCUGCUGAAUAAAGAACGGCAACAGCAUGUCUCUGCGAUAAGCCACCGAGGGAGUGUGCUAAAAAGGAAAUCUUCUUUAAGCUCUUGUUCUUUUGGAUAACUUGUCUAACCUAUAUUCUCUCUCUCACAUCAUAUAGAGACAGAUAAUCAGCUUAUACACUCAAGUUCAAGAACAACCUAGAUCUAUACAUUAAGUGGACUAUAAAACAGAGUGUAGCAGAAAUGAUAAAAACAAAAUUUCAGAUACAACAACACUUGCAAGCUUCUACUAUCCUAACCUGAAUGAGAGGCAUCUAUAAUACAAAAACCAAGAUGCAAAGGCAUAUCAUACCUGGCUAAGAUGCCGUGUACAAGAACAAGAAGGUGAUCAGGUUCAAUUUUCUCAUCAAAUGAUUUUACAGAAUCAA
This is a long non-coding RNA of Brassica napus (rape), 576 nucleotides long. RefSeq lists it as uncharacterized. The record is from RefSeq and is a predicted model, not a curated record. Lineage: Eukaryota; Viridiplantae; Streptophyta; Magnoliopsida; Brassicales; Brassicaceae. The transcript has 2 exons.